GAUGAACGCUGGCGGCGUGCCUAAUACAUGCAAGUCGAGCGAACGGACGAGAAGCUUGCUUCUCUGAUGUUAGCGGCGGACGGGUGAGUAACACGUGGAUAACCUACCUAUAAGACUGGGAUAACUUCGGGAAACCGUAGCUAAUACCGGAUAAUAUUUUGAACCGCAUGGUUCAAAAGUGAAAGACGGUCUUGCUGUCACUUAUAGAUGGAUCCGCGCUGCAUUAGCUAGUUGGUAAGGUAACGGCUUACCAAGGCAACGAUGCAUAGCCGACCUGAGAGGGUGAUCGGCCACACUGGAACUGAGACACGGUCCAGACUCCUACGGGAGGCAGCAGUAGGGAAUCUUCCGCAAUGGGCGAAAGCCUGACGGAGCAACGCCGCGUGAGUGAUGAAGGUCUUCGGAUCGUAAAACUCUGUUAUUAGGGAAGAACAUAUGUGUAAUUAAAUGUGCACAUCUUGACGGUACCUAAUCAGAAAGCCACGGCUAACUACGUG
This 497-nucleotide ribosomal RNA is filed under the name uncultured bacterium. RNAcentral describes it as "partial 16S ribosomal RNA". It matches the Rfam family "Bacterial small subunit ribosomal RNA", at positions 28 to 507 of the family's 1533-position model. The record is from RNAcentral.